GUGAAGAGCCGCGUCUUUUCAGAGAAUCAGACUCCACUUCUGAAACACGAAAGGUUAAAACACAAAAUUGAUUUGCCAGCUAUGUAGGAGGAAGGGCACCGUUCAUUCAGAGAGUCAGACAUGUUCAUCAUGAUCUUUUCAGUAAACUGU
Molecule: long non-coding RNA, 150 nt
Organism: Toxotes jaculatrix (banded archerfish)
Lineage: Eukaryota; Metazoa; Chordata; Actinopteri; Toxotidae
Exons: 3
Source: RefSeq, a predicted model, not a curated record